UACAGAGGGUGCGAGCGUUGUUCGGAAUUAUUGGGCGUAAAGGGCGCGUAGGCGGCGCCACAAGUCACUUGUGAAAACUCUGGGCUCAACUCAGAGCCUGCAAGCGAAACUGUGGUGCUGGAGUAUGGGAGAGGUGCGUGGAAUUCCCGGUGUAGCGGUGAAAUGCGUAGAUAUCGGAAGGAACACCUGUGGCGAAAGCGGCGCACUGGACCAUAACUGACACUGAUAAGCGAAAGCCAGGGGAGCAAACGGG
Molecule: ribosomal RNA, 253 nt
Filed under: uncultured bacterium
Lineage: Bacteria
Description: partial 16S ribosomal RNA
Rfam family: Bacterial small subunit ribosomal RNA
Source: RNAcentral